This 460-nucleotide ribosomal RNA is filed under the name uncultured bacterium. RNAcentral's name for it is "partial 16S ribosomal RNA". It matches the Rfam family "Bacterial small subunit ribosomal RNA", at positions 338 to 795 of the family's 1533-position model. The record is from RNAcentral.
CCUACGGGUGGCAGCAGUGAGGAAUUUUGGUCAAUGGACGCAAGUCUGAACCAGCCAUGCCGCGUGCAGGAAGACGGCUCUAUGAGUUGUAAACUGCUUUUGUACGAGGGUAAACGCAGAUACGCGUAUCUGUCUGAAAGUAUCGUACGAAUAAGGAUCGGCCAACUCCGUGCCAGCAGCCGCGGUAAUACGGAGGAUUCAAGCGUUAUCCGGAUUUAUUGGGUUUAAAGGGUGCGUAGGCGGUCGGAUAAGUUAGAGGUUAAAUCCCGAGGCUCAACUUCGGAAUUGCCUCUGAUACUGUUCGGCGAGAGAGUAGUUGCGGUAGGCGGAAUGUAUGGUGUAGCGGUGAAAUGCUUAGAGAGCAUACAGAACACCGAUUGCGAAGGCAGUUUACCAAGCUACUUCUGACGUUGAGGCACGAAAGCGUGGGGAGCAAACAGGAUUAGAUACCCUUGUAGUC